This 428-nucleotide ribosomal RNA is filed under the name uncultured bacterium. RNAcentral describes it as "partial 16S ribosomal RNA". It matches the Rfam family "Bacterial small subunit ribosomal RNA", at positions 354 to 796 of the family's 1533-position model. The record is from RNAcentral.
GUGGGGAAUAUUGGGCAAUGGGCGCAAGCCUGACCCAGCAACGCCGCGUGAAGGAAGAAGGCUUUCGGGUUGUAAACUUCUUUUACCAGGGACGAAACAAAUGACGGUACCUGGUGAAUAAGCCACGGCUAACUACGUGCCAGCAGCCGCGGUAAUACGUAGGUGGCGAGCGUUAUCCGGAUUUAUUGGGUGUAAAGGGCGUGUAGGCGGGACAGCAAGUCAGAUGUGAAAACCAGAGGCUCAACCUCUGGCCUGCAUUUGAAACUGUUGUUCUUGAGUGUCGGAGAGGUAAUCGGAAUUCCGUGUGUAGCGGUGAAAUGCGUAGAUAUUAGGAGGAACACCGGUGGCGAAGGCGGCCUUCUGGACUGUCACUGACACUGAGGCACGAAAGCGUGGGUAGCAAACAGGAUUAGAAACCCGAGUAGUCC